This 88-nucleotide transfer RNA is filed under the name Elusimicrobiota bacterium. Its description in RNAcentral is "Elusimicrobia bacterium tRNA-Ser". It matches the Rfam family "tRNA". Rfam says of the family: Transfer RNA (tRNA) molecules are approximately 80 nucleotides in length. Their secondary structure includes four short double-helical elements and three loops (D, anti-codon, and T loops). The record is from RNAcentral. Lineage: Bacteria; Pseudomonadati; Elusimicrobiota.
GGAGAGGUGCGUGAGCGGUUGAAACGGCACCCCUGGAAAGGGUGUAGGGUGCAAGCCCUCGAGGGUUCGAAUCCCUCUCUCUCCGCCA